UACGUAGGGGGCAAGCGUUAUCCGGAUUUACUGGGUGUAAAGGGCGUGUAGGCGGGACUGCAAGUCAGAUGUGAAAACCACGGGCUCAACCUGUGGCCUGCAUUUGAAACUGUAGUUCUUGAGUACUGGAGAGGCAGACGGAAUUCCUAGUGUAGCGGUGAAAUGCGUAGAUAUAUGGAGGAACACCGGUGGCGAAAGCGGCUCUCUGGCCUGUAACUGACACUGAGGCUCGAAAGCGUGGGGAGCAAACAGG
Molecule: ribosomal RNA, 253 nt
Filed under: uncultured bacterium
Lineage: Bacteria
Description: partial 16S ribosomal RNA
Rfam family: Bacterial small subunit ribosomal RNA
Source: RNAcentral